GGAAUUCCGGGUGUAGUGGUGAAAUGCGUAGAUAUCCGGAGGAACACCAGUGGCGAAGGCGGCACUCUGGGCUGUACCUGACGCUAAGACGCGAAAGCGUGGGUAGCGAACGGGAUUAGAAACCCCGGUAGUCCACGCGGUAAACGAUGUCAACUGGGUGUUGGGGGGGUAAAAGCUCUCAGUGCCGAAGCAAACGCGAUAAGUUGACCGCCUGGGGAGUACGGCCGCAAGGCUAAAACUCAAAGGAAUUGACGGGAGCCCGCACAAGCAGCGGAGCGUGUGGUUUAAUUCGAUGAUACACGAAGAACCUUACCUGGGUUUGACAUAUACGUAGUAGGGAACCGAAAGGCGACCGACUCUUCGGAGAGCGUAUACAGGUGCUGCAUGGCUGUCGUCAGCUCGUGCCGUGAGGUGUCGGGUUAAGUCCCGCAACGAGCGCAACCCUCGUUGCUAGUUAAACAUUACUAGCGAGACUGCUGGCAUAUAACCAGAGGAAGGUGGGGAUGACGUCAAGUCAGCAUGGCCUUUAUAUCCAGGGCUACACACACGCUACAAUGGUCGGUACAAAGAGUUGCCAAGCCGUGAGGCGGAGCUAAUCUCAACAAAACCGGCCUCAGUUCGGAUUGGAGGCUGCAACCCGCCUCCAUGAAGUCGGAGUUGCUAGUAAACGCCGGUCAGCUAUACGGCGUUGAAUACGUUCCCGGGCCUUGUACACACCGCCCGUCACGUCAUGGAAGCUGGUAACACCUGAAGUCGGUGAGCUAACCGAGAGGAAGCAGCUGCCGAGGGUGGGACUGGUAACUGGGACGAAGUCGUAACAAGGUAGCUGUACCGGAAGGUGCGGCUG
RNAcentral lists this ribosomal RNA (847 nucleotides) under enrichment culture. RNAcentral describes it as "bacterial SSU rRNA". It matches the Rfam family "Bacterial small subunit ribosomal RNA", at positions 663 to 1520 of the family's 1533-position model. The record is from RNAcentral.